AGCACUUGUGUUUGUUUUUGUUUAGUCUGUGGGCAAAGACCAUAUAUGGGUGUGAAAACCAAGUCCCUUCUUUGCAACCCAGAACUCAUUGUUCAGUAUGAUUUUUAGUACAUGCAAGAAGAAAUGUA
Small nucleolar RNA from Pteronotus mesoamericanus, 128 nucleotides. RefSeq annotates it as small nucleolar RNA SNORA40. The record is from RefSeq and is a predicted model, not a curated record. Lineage: Eukaryota; Metazoa; Chordata; Mammalia; Chiroptera; Mormoopidae. The transcript has a single exon.